GAACCCCUACGGGGCGCAGCAGUAGGGAAUCUUCCACAAUGGGCGAAAGCCUGAUGGAGCAACGCCGCGUGGGUGAAGAAGGUCUUCGGAUCGUAAAACCCUGUUGUUAGAGAAGAAAGUGCGUGAGAGUAACUGUUCACGUUUCGACGGUAUCUAACCAGAAAGCCACGGCUAACUACGUGCCAGCAGCCGCGGUAAUACGUAGGGGGCAAGCGUUAUCCGGAUUUAUUGGGCGUAAAGGGAACGCAGGCGGUCUUUUAAGCCUGAUGUGAACGCCUUGGGCUUAACCGGUGUAGUGCAUUGGG
Molecule: ribosomal RNA, 305 nt
Filed under: uncultured bacterium
Lineage: Bacteria
Description: bacterial SSU rRNA
Rfam family: Bacterial small subunit ribosomal RNA
Source: RNAcentral